UUCUCCCUUCUGAUGAACCAUGAUGUCAUUAAUUUGGUGUUGUGGGGAGUCAGGACUGUUACUUUGAAAAAAUUAAAGUGUUUAAAGCAGGCAAACGCUUGAAUACAUUAGCAUGGAAUAAUGAAAUAGGACGUUCGAACCUAUUUUGUUGGUUUCUAGGUACAACGUAAUGAUUAAUAGGGAUAGUUGGGGGCAUUAGUAUUCAAUUGUCAAAGGUGAAAUUCUUGGAUUUAUUGAACACUAACUACGGCGAAAGCAUUUGCCAAGGAUGUUUUCAUUAAUCAAGAACGAAAGUUAGGGGAUCAAACACGAUCAGAUACCGUCGUAGUCUUAACCAUACACUAUGCCGACAAGGGAUCGGAUGA
This 365-nucleotide ribosomal RNA is filed under the name uncultured Glomeromycotina. RNAcentral's name for it is "SSU rRNA". It matches the Rfam family "Eukaryotic small subunit ribosomal RNA", at positions 694 to 1060 of the family's 1831-position model. The record is from RNAcentral. Lineage: Eukaryota; Fungi; Glomeromycota.